RNAcentral lists this ribosomal RNA (492 nucleotides) under uncultured bacterium. RNAcentral's name for it is "partial 16S ribosomal RNA". It matches the Rfam family "Bacterial small subunit ribosomal RNA", at positions 29 to 507 of the family's 1533-position model. The record is from RNAcentral.
AGUGAACGCUGGCGGUAGGCCUAACACAUGCCAGUCGAACGGCAGCACAGUAAGAGCUUGCUCUUACGGGUGGCGAGUGGCGGACGGGUGAGGAAUACAUCGGAAUCUUCUUUUUCGUGGGGGAUAACGUAGGGAAACUUACGCUAAUACCGCAUACGACCUACGGGUGAAAGCAGGGGAUCUUCGGACCUUGCGCGAUUGAAUGAGCCGAUGUCGGAUUAGCUAGUUGGCGGGGUAAAGGCCCACCAAGGCGACGAUCCGUAGCUGGUCUGAGAGGAUGAUCAGCGACACUGGAACUGAGACACGGUCCAGACUCCUACGGGAGGCAGCAGUGGGGAAUAUUGGACAAUGGGCGCAAGCCUGAUCCAGCCAUACCGCGUGGGUGAAGAAGGCCUUCGGGUUGUAAAGCCCUUUUGUUGGGAAAGAAAAGCAGCAGGUUAAUACCCCGCUGUUCUGACGGUACCCAAAGAAUAAGCACCGGCUAACUUCGUG